CUUGGUUAGCUGUGAAAGAUGAUCAGCAGGUCACAAUCCAUUUCAGAUUUUGCUGUGCCCUGCAGAACUGAUCUGAACACAUGGCAACUUCAGUUUCCCCUGUGGACCUUGCGCUUUGUGAGCUCUUUGGACGAGAGUAGGUUCUCAGGUCCUCUGCAAGUGUGAACUUCUAAUUCUUAAUAGGUCUGUGCAUUAUUUCUUUCAUUUAUGGCUGAGCGAACAGAAGCACACAGAGAUACAAAGACUUGCCUGAGAUUAUGGAACAAAUGAAAUAGGCAUUGCUAAUUGACUGCUUACUCUUUACUGCAUCCCUUGCCCACCCAGCCUGCCUGCCUCAUGGACUGUCUUUCCAGACAGCUGCUGCCCACAGCUCCUUGGGGAGAAGCGGAAAUUCAAGUGCAAAUGGAGGAAAAGAAAAUUGUUUCAGUUCAGCAUCCUCUUAACAUUUAAUUCAAACUUGUGCCAUUGAACCAGCAGUGUCCACAUGAUUUAGUAGAAUCCUGAUCAAACUCACUAUACAGAAAAUAUAUGUACAGUGUAGUACUACUACUGAUGCAUAUUUGGGGAGAAAACUGCAAAUUCAGGGAAAAUCUACACUUAUUUCAACCACACAAGCUGCAGUGACUGCAAUUUGUUUCUUUCUGUCUAUUCAGGGAUUAAAUUGAGAUCAAGCAGCCUGGAACAGCUUGAUGACUCUACCUCUCAACCAUGGAAGGUGCCAGGUGUCCUGCAUUUUGGAUCUGACACCUUAUCGCUGGGAUAACAAUAUACAACUGGUUGCCUCAAGAUGGCUUUUGGCUCUUUUAGGCCCUCCCGCAGACUGAUUUGUGUGAGAGUUGACAGUGAAAUUGGGAAGUAAGCAGAAUGAUAAAGGGUUAGAGCAUGUUCUUUGCAGACAAAUGGGUUUAGGUUCAAAUUCUGCCAGUUAAUAAUGGCAUGACUGGGAACUCCUGGAGUGUAUCUUUCAGGUGAUGAUUAAUCAGCAAAGGAUAGGUGGGUGGUAAUAAUGAUAAUUAUUAGAGCAGCUAUUAUUAAAUGAAUGCUUACUGAGCUAAGGGAUCUCAUUUAAUUUUUACAACAACCCUAGUAGAUAGGCACUACUAAUAAAUGUGUAAUUAAUCAAUGUCAGUUGCUUUCUUCCUUGACUGAGCAAGAAUUUACUGAGUGCUGGUUAUAUUCAGACAUUGUACAAGGUGCUAGUGAUUCAAUAUCAGAUAGGUCAUGAUCCCUUCACUCAGAGAGGC
Molecule: long non-coding RNA, 1244 nt
Organism: Heterocephalus glaber (naked mole-rat)
Lineage: Eukaryota; Metazoa; Chordata; Mammalia; Rodentia; Bathyergidae
Source: Ensembl